GCGGAGGAAAAGAAACCAACAGGGAUUGCCUCAGUAACGGCGAGUGAAGCGGCAAAAGCUCAAAUUUGAAAUCCCCCGGGAAUUGUAAUUUGAAGAGAUUUGGGUCCGGCCGGCAGGGGUUAAGUCCACUGGAAAGUGGCGCCACAGAGGGUGACAGCCCCGUGAACCCCUUCAACGCCUUCAUCCCAGAUCUCCAAGAGUCGAGUUGUUUGGGAAUGCAGCUCUAAGUGGGUGGUAAAUUCCAUCUAAAGCUAAAUACCGGCGAGAGACCGAUAGCGAACAAGUACAGUGAUGGAAAGAUGAAAAGCACUUUGAAAAGAGAGUGAAAAAGUACGUGAAAUUGUUGAAAGGGAAGGGCUUGCAAGCAGACACUUAACUGGGCCAGCAUCGGGGCGGCGGGGAGCAAAACCACCGGGGAAUGUACCUUUCGAGGAUUAUAACCCCGGCUCCUUA
Molecule: ribosomal RNA, 453 nt
Filed under: Metschnikowia pulcherrima
Lineage: Eukaryota; Fungi; Ascomycota; Pichiomycetes; Serinales; Metschnikowiaceae
Description: partial large subunit ribosomal RNA
Rfam family: Eukaryotic large subunit ribosomal RNA
Source: RNAcentral